RNAcentral lists this ribosomal RNA (208 nucleotides) under Pneumocystis carinii. RNAcentral describes it as "large subunit rRNA". It matches the Rfam family "Bacterial large subunit ribosomal RNA", at positions 842 to 1031 of the family's 2925-position model. The record is from RNAcentral. Lineage: Eukaryota; Fungi; Ascomycota; Pneumocystomycetes; Pneumocystales; Pneumocystaceae.
GAUAUAGCUGGUUUUCUGCGAAAUUUGUUUUAGCAAAUUGUUUAUUAUAUUAUUAGUAGGUAUAGCACUGAAUAUCUAUUCUUAAUAGAAUAAAAGGGAGUAUUAUUAAUACUUAUCUUGGAUAUUUAAUCUCAAAAUGACUAAUAAGUAAGAUAAAUAAUCAGACUUUUUGCGAUAAGGUAGAAAGUCAAAAGGGAAACAGCCCAGA